Molecule: ribosomal RNA, 193 nt
Filed under: Meloidogyne minor
Lineage: Eukaryota; Metazoa; Nematoda; Chromadorea; Rhabditida; Meloidogynidae
Description: partial 18S ribosomal RNA
Rfam family: Eukaryotic small subunit ribosomal RNA
Source: RNAcentral
UUGAUUACGUCCCUGCCCUUUGUACACACCGCCCGUCGCUGCCCGGGACUGAGCCAUUUCGAGAAAUUUGGGGACUGUUGAUUUAACUUUUUUUUAAAAAGUUUUUUUGAUGGAAACCAAUUUAAUCGCAGUGGCUUGAACCGGGCAAAAGUCGUAACAAGGUAGCUGUAGGUGAACCUGCUGCUGGAUCAUU